CAGAAGGGGAACCAAUCGGCAGUCGCCGCUCCUGAGCCCCAUCCGGCGCGCCGCGGAUAAGCCUAGUUCUUUGCCGUGGCCGCCCCGAGCCCCACCCGUGCACCGGGCUCCAGAGCCCUGAAGCCAUCGACACCCCCAGCGCUGCCCAGUCCCCGCCAGGGCGCGGGGAAGGCCCCCACUCACCGAACUGGAGCACCAGGCAGACCACGCCGAGGACCACCGCGGCCCAGCCACACGCACUCCCUGCGGUCAUGGCGCGUUCGGCUGGCCUCUAAGGCCCUACUGCGCUGAGCGCACCCUAGUAAUUUCGCUAGCAGCCCCGCCCCGGCCUCCCCGCCGUACCAGCCCCGCCCGCUCUGGCCCCGCCUCGUCUCGCGUCCCCUGCUUCCUGUCCACCCUGUUCCCAGAGUUUUUCUGCUGCCUCCCGUCUGCUCGGUGCAGUCCUUCCAUCAAAGUGGCUUGCGUUUUAAAAGCCAGGCUUCUCUUCGUUCCCCCCGCUGCUCCAGCACUUUUCCUGGACGUCUGGGACGCGAUGGAGGCAACUUUGUAACUGGGGGAAGGGGAAGCUGUCGAGCCCCUCCCCCACCCCGUAAAGCUGCGUCCCACUCGGCGGGCCCGUACGGGGA
Molecule: long non-coding RNA, 626 nt
Organism: Mustela lutreola (European mink)
Lineage: Eukaryota; Metazoa; Chordata; Mammalia; Carnivora; Mustelidae
Exons: 2
Source: RefSeq, a predicted model, not a curated record